ACGAACGCUGGCGGCAUGCCUAACACAUGCAAGUCGAACGAAGGCUUCGGCCUUAGUGGCGCACGGGUGCGUAACGCGUGGGAAUCUGCCCUUUGCUUCGGAAUAACAGUUAGAAAUGACUGCUAAUACCGGAUGAUGUCGCAAGACCAAAGAUUUAUCGGCAAAGGAUGAGCCCGCGUAGGAUUAGCUAGUUGGUGGGGUAAAGGCCUACCAAGGCGACGAUCCUUAGCUGGUCUGAGAGGAUGAUUAGCCACACUGGGACUGAGACACGGCCCAGACUCCUACGGGAGGCAGCAGUGGGGAAUAUUGGACAAUGGGCGAAAGCCUGAUCCAGCAAUGCCGCGUGAGUGAUGAAGGCCUUAGGGUUGUAAAGCUCUUUUACCCGGGAUGAUAAUGACAGUACCGGGAGAAUAAGCUCCGGCUAACUCCGUG
RNAcentral lists this ribosomal RNA (432 nucleotides) under uncultured bacterium. Its description in RNAcentral is "partial 16S ribosomal RNA". It matches the Rfam family "Bacterial small subunit ribosomal RNA", at positions 29 to 507 of the family's 1533-position model. The record is from RNAcentral.